RNAcentral lists this long non-coding RNA (226 nucleotides) under Malus domestica (apple). Its description in RNAcentral is "long non-coding RNA (MDOM_LNC020343)". The record is from RNAcentral. Lineage: Eukaryota; Viridiplantae; Streptophyta; Magnoliopsida; Rosales; Rosaceae.
UUUAGCGUUUUUAGGCCCUUAACGUCAAAACGUAAACUUUCGGGUCAAAGCACAAAUACACAAAAGUAUCAAAACUUUAUGUAAUUGCAUAAAAGCCCCAAAAAUACCCUAUUUUAUUAGGGUGGCCGGUUUUUAGGGAUAAAAAUGAGUGAUGGGUGUUUUGAUUUAUUAGUUUUGUCAAAAACAAUCAAGUAGUGCUUUCACCUUUCAUAAAAAUAAUAUAUGU